CUGCAGCCCGAGUGGUGAUCGAUUUUAUUGAGCCUAAAGCGUCCGUAGCCGGACUAGUAAACCCUUGGGUAAAUUGGGCAGCUUAACUGUCCAAAUUCCGAGGGGACUGCUAGUCUUGGGACCGGGAGAGGUCAGAGGUACUCAAGGGGUAGGGGCUAAAUCCUGUAAUCCUUUGGGGACCACCAGUGGCGAAGGCGUCUGACUAGAACGGAUCCGACGGUAAAGGACGAAACCCUGGGGCGCGAACCGGAUUAGAUACCCGAGUAGUCC
Molecule: ribosomal RNA, 270 nt
Filed under: uncultured archaeon
Lineage: Archaea
Description: partial 16S ribosomal RNA
Rfam family: Archaeal small subunit ribosomal RNA
Source: RNAcentral